AGAAGUGGAUCUACGGCCAGAACUGAACUAUUCCCUC
RNAcentral lists this small RNA (37 nucleotides) under Arabidopsis thaliana (thale cress). RNAcentral's name for it is "ATSL227790". Lineage: Eukaryota; Viridiplantae; Streptophyta; Magnoliopsida; Brassicales; Brassicaceae. The record is from RNAcentral.